UGGGGAAUAUUGCACAAUGGGCGCAAGCCUGAUGCAGCCAUGCCGCGUGUGUGAAGAAGGCCUUCGGGUUGUAAAGCACUUUCAGCGGGGAGGAAGGCGUUAAGGUUAAUAACCUUGGCGAUUGACGUUACCCGCAGAAGAAGCACCGGCUAACUCCGUGCCAGCAGCCGCGGUAAUACGGAGGGUGCAAGCGUGAAUCGGAAUUACUGGGCGUAAAGCGCACGCAGGCGGUCUGUCAAGUCGGAUGUGAAAUCCCCGGGCUCAACCUGGGAACUGCAUCUGAUACUGGCAAGCUUGAGUCUCGUAGAGGGGGGUAGAAUUCCAGGUGUAGCGGUGAAAUGCGUAGAGAUCUGGAGGAAUACCGGUGGCGAAGGCGGCCCCCUGGACGAAGACUGACGCUCAGGUGCGAAAGCGUGGGGAGCAAACAGG
This 429-nucleotide ribosomal RNA is filed under the name Chloroflexota bacterium. RNAcentral's name for it is "Chloroflexi bacterium partial 16S ribosomal RNA". It matches the Rfam family "Bacterial small subunit ribosomal RNA", at positions 355 to 776 of the family's 1533-position model. The record is from RNAcentral. Lineage: Bacteria; Bacillati; Chloroflexota.